This 63-nucleotide transfer RNA is filed under the name Bletilla striata. RNAcentral describes it as "partial tRNA-His". The record is from RNAcentral. Lineage: Eukaryota; Viridiplantae; Streptophyta; Magnoliopsida; Asparagales; Orchidaceae.
AGGGAAGGGGCGGAUGUAGCCAAGUGGAUCAAGGCAGUGGAUUGUGAAAUCCACCAUGCGCGA